GAGGGUAUAGCUCAGGGUAGAAUGCAAACAUACCUACCGUGCAUGAGGUCCUGGGUUCAAUCCCCAGUACCUCCA
Molecule: transfer RNA, 75 nt
Filed under: Camelus bactrianus (Bactrian camel)
Lineage: Eukaryota; Metazoa; Chordata; Mammalia; Artiodactyla; Camelidae
Also listed under: 2 other names
Rfam family: tRNA
About the family: Transfer RNA (tRNA) molecules are approximately 80 nucleotides in length. Their secondary structure includes four short double-helical elements and three loops (D, anti-codon, and T loops). Further hydrogen bonds mediate the characteristic L-shaped molecular structure. tRNAs have two regions of fundamental functional importance: the anti-codon, which is responsible for specific mRNA codon recognition, and the 3' end, to which the tRNAs corresponding amino acid is attached (by aminoacyl-tRNA synthetases). tRNAs cope with the degeneracy of the genetic code in two manners: having more than one tRNA (with a specific anti-codon) for a particular amino acid; and 'wobble' base-pairing, i.e. permitting non-standard base-pairing at the 3rd anti-codon position.
Source: Rfam by way of RNAcentral